This 1341-nucleotide long non-coding RNA is filed under the name Sparus aurata (gilthead seabream). RNAcentral's name for it is "lncRNA (ENSSAUG00010008640.1)". The record is from RNAcentral. Lineage: Eukaryota; Metazoa; Chordata; Actinopteri; Spariformes; Sparidae.
CUGAUGCUAGCUCCCUGUUAGCUGUUAGCUGGACUACGAUCGUAUUAAAGGUUGAAGGAGCGGAUGAUUUAUUAUUAGCGUCUCUUUUCUCGUCUGUACUUGUUCAUGUACAACAGUCACAGGUCUGCUAGUCGUCGCUGGUGCUGACCUGUUUGUUGACUUUAAGCUCUCACAACAAGGCAAAAGAUAUAAAAAGUAAUGAGGACAUAAUGAAGUAUAAAAGCUUAACUGUAACUCUCAGCUAAAUACAUUGACUCAAAUACUUCACUUCAGGACACAUUUAAGGGCAGAGCAACGUGUAGCGUGUGUACAGUAAAUACAGCCGACUGUUAGCUGAGAAUAAAUCAAGGCGACAACGAUAACCUCCAUCUUUAAUUUGAGGGUGUUCACAUCACAUCAGAAAAAACAGCAGGAACAGUCUCUCAUGUUUCUGUUCUGUCAUGUUUCUGUGUAACAGAGAUGUCGGAUACUUCAGAGAAAAAGUGGAAACCAACUCUGACUAAAAUCCUGGAGGAGCUGGACAACAAACAGUACAGAAAGACAAUGGAAUAUUUGGACAAAGUUCCCAAAGGUCAGAAGAAAGGCAGAUCUUUUGCAACGAUGGCCCAAAAAAUAAUUGAGCGCUACGGACAUGACGAAUCAAUUUCUACAAUACAUAAAAUCAUGGAAGAGAUACCGAGGAAGGAUCCGAGGAUGCAGGAACUGUUGGGCCCCUUUGUUGAAGAACUGAGGAGCAAAAAUGAAAAAGGGAGAAAAGGAAAGAAGAGAAAGUGUGAUUCAGUGGAGAAGGAAGACAAUCCUCCAGCAGAGAUGUCGGAUACUUCAGAGAAAAAGUGGAAAGCAACUCUGACUAAAAUCCUGGAGGAGCUGGACAACAAACAGUACAGAGAGACGAUGGAAUAUUUGGACAAAAUCCCCGGAAGUCAGAAGAAAGGCAGAUCUGAAGCAACGAUGGCCCAAAAAAUCAUUGAGCGCUACGGACAUGAUGAAUCAAUUUCUGCAAUACAUAAUAUCAUGGAAGAGAUACCGAGGAAGGAUCCAAGGAUGCAGGAACUGUUGGGCCCCUUUGUCGAAGAACUGAGCAGCAAAAAUGAAAAAGGGAGAAAAGGAAAGAAGAGAAAGUGUGAUCCAGUGGAGAAGGAAGACAAUCCUCCAGCAGGGAAGAAGAAUAAAUGUGAUCAAGCGGAGGAGGAAAAUAAGCCUGCAGAAGGUACGAAGGUUUCACCAGCUGUAAGAUCUGGUCCCAACAUCUCUUUACACUUGUUUGUGUCAUUUUUUAGAUAUUUAACAAUAGAAAACUCUGAUUAAUGUCAAACAGGGUCUCACUUUUGUAGCUUUUAU